GACGGGGGAUGCAAGUGUUAUCCGGAAUCACUGGGCGUAAAGCGUCUGCAGGUGGUUUCCUAAGUCCACUGUUAAACCUUGAGGCUCAACCUCAAAUCUGCAUUGGAAACUAGGAGACUUGUGUAUAGUAGGGGUAGAGGGAAUUUCCAGUGGAGCGGUGAAAUGCGUAGAUAUUGGAAAGAACACCGAUGGCGAAGGCACUCUACUGGGCUAUUACUGACACUCAGAGACGAAAGCUAGGGGAGCAAAUGGG
This 253-nucleotide ribosomal RNA is filed under the name uncultured bacterium. RNAcentral's name for it is "partial 16S ribosomal RNA". It matches the Rfam family "Bacterial small subunit ribosomal RNA", at positions 524 to 776 of the family's 1533-position model. The record is from RNAcentral.